UACAGAGGAUGCAAGCGUUAUCCGGAAUGAUUGGGCGUAAAGCGUCUGUAGGUGGCUUUUUAAGUCCGCCGUCAAAUCCCAGGGCUCAACUCUGGACAGGCGGUGGAAACUACCAAGCUGGAGUACGGUAGGGGCAGAGGGAAUUUCCGGUGGAGCGGUGAAAUGCGUAGAGAUCGGCAGGAACACCCAGGGGGAAACCAGCCGACUGGGCAAGUGCUGACGCUGAGGUGCGAGAGCGUGGGGAGCGAACCGG
RNAcentral lists this ribosomal RNA (253 nucleotides) under uncultured bacterium. Its description in RNAcentral is "partial 16S ribosomal RNA". It matches the Rfam family "Bacterial small subunit ribosomal RNA", at positions 524 to 776 of the family's 1533-position model. The record is from RNAcentral.